UGGGGAAUAUUGCACAAUGGGCGAAAGCCUGAUGCAGCAACGCCGCGUGAAGGAUGAAGGCCUUUGGGUCGUAAACUUCUGUCCUUGGGGAAGAAAAAAAUGACGGUACCCCUGGAGGAAGUCCCGGCUAACUACGUGCCAGCAGCCGCGGUAAUACGUAGGGGGCGAGCGUUAUCCGGAAUUAUUGGGCGUAAAGAGUACGUAGGUGGUUUUUUAAGCGCAGGGUUUAAGGCGAUGGCUCAAUUGUCGUUCGCCCUGUGAACUGGAAGACUUGAGUACAGGAGAGGAAAGCGGAAUUCCUAGUGUAGCGGUGAAAUGCAUAGAUAUUAGGAGGAACACCAGUGGCGAAGGCGGCUUUCUGGACUGUAACUGACACUGAGGUACGAAAGCGUGGGGAGCAAACA
Molecule: ribosomal RNA, 404 nt
Filed under: uncultured prokaryote
Description: bacterial SSU rRNA
Rfam family: Bacterial small subunit ribosomal RNA
Source: RNAcentral